RNAcentral lists this unclassified non-coding RNA (157 nucleotides) under uncultured Helotiales. Its description in RNAcentral is "sequence contains ITS1". Lineage: Eukaryota; Fungi; Ascomycota; Leotiomycetes; Helotiales. The record is from RNAcentral.
ACGAGAUCAUGCCCUCACGGGUAGACCUCCCACCCUUGAAUACUAUACCUUCGUUGCUUUGGCGGGCCGCCGAUGGCCACCGGCUCCGGCUGGUGAGCGCCCGCCAGAGGACCCAAAACUCUGCAUCAUGUGUCGUCUGAGUACUAUACAAUAGUUA